This is a long non-coding RNA of Xenopus laevis (African clawed frog), 1779 nucleotides long. RefSeq lists it as uncharacterized. The transcript is spliced from 4 exons. NCBI's taxonomy places the organism in Eukaryota, Metazoa, Chordata, Amphibia, Anura, Pipidae. The record is from RefSeq and is a predicted model, not a curated record.
UGAUAAACCUUUACAACAUAGUCUCAAUUUGAAUUGCACCAGUCAGAGGAAACAUUUUUGUAAUGUAAUUAUUAUUUUAAAUGGAUAGUUUUGAAGUUACAGACCAUAUAAGCUGUGGAUCACUGCUGUUAAAAGUCUCCUCUUCUCUCUGCUGCCUCUCAGCUAGGGAUCUGGGACAUGGCUUUCCAUUCUGCCCAUACACGAAGCUGACACUGAUCUGGUUACUGCAAUGCCUCCCCUCUGCUGCUUCAUUUGCAUUUCACUAAUCCUAUUGGCUAAAUAUUGCCAGCCAAUCCCAUCAAAGAUAUGCAAAUGAAACAGGAUAAAGAAGCAUGCACAGAGCCAGUUAAGUGUGAUUUUUUAUUUGUUUGCCUGACAAGUCCCAGGCUGGGAAAUCCCCUACAGAGAACUGAGAGCACAGAAGAGAAAACUUUACGAGGGCUGAUCCAUGGCUUAUCAGUUAUUUUAGUCAUGCUGGGCUGGAGGUGACAACCACAGAAGAACCAUUAGCAGUGUCGGAGGCUUCAUGAAGGUUCUCAGGUCUGGGGGCAGCUUUGAGGGGGCUUUUGGAGAUCUCUGUUGAUACCUCUAUGAAUAAUUCCAAACAAAAUUAUGCAGUUUAACUACUCACCUUGCCAUCUCUCUCCAUUCUGCAUCUUCCCCUUCACGUAAGCAAAUCUCGUCCAGCUCAGUGAAGAGAUCAUGGGGAAUGUGUUCUUCAUCAUCAUCCUCUGUACCAAGGAUAAACUGGACCCUUUGAGAUGGUGUGUCUAAAAAAAGCAGAAGAAGGAAUGUCACACAGGUCAACAUUGACUUGGACAAGUGGUUCCAAAUCUUUUUCAUCAAGGCUCCAAUCAAUUCCUGGGUCUCAACCAUUCAAAGUUUACUGCUGGUAUUUGGGAUUACAGGUCCCGUCACUGCUGUUAAUUUCUUAGCAAAAAAAGGAAAGUGUUAGAGAGGGGAUGUGGGGAUGACAACUCAACUAAUUAAAAAGAAAGAAAUAUGUAGUGUGGAAAUACUGUUAAUCUUGCAGUAACUUUCAUCAGCUUUAGAUUUUUAAAGGGGCCCAAAGAAAUGUAUUGUUAACCUUACCUUUAGCACAAUAACAUUCUUUUAACUUGUUACUGUAAAAUAAGGGUUGCAAAAGAAACAUGAAGAAACAUGAUUCUUGUAAUAGGUGUUCUAUAGGGCAUGGUGCUUCACAUUACAGAAAUGCCUCUUAUAUGACCAACCAGAAGUUCCAAGCAUUCUAAUAGCUGUGUUUUAUUAGUGCUCUUCAUUUUAGUCCAUUUGAUUUAGAAUUUGUCAUAUCUUAUUUCUAAAGAGGCAUAAACAAAAUAUUUUUCACACUUGCCCCUAAAUGUUGCUAAAUUAUACCCCCUUUAUCCACUGAAAGCCAAAUAAUUCAAGCAGGAUUAUGUUAUAAAAGCACAAAAUGACUAUGAUCUUGCCAACUAAAAUAUUCCACGCAUCUGAUAAAUAGCCCAUCCAGCUCUGAUGAUAGCUUAUGCAACUGAACACCUUAUUUUUUUCUCUUACUUUGUCCCAUUAUCAGGUAUUACAUCUUCAAUAUUCUUCUGUUCCUUGCAUCAGAGAUUAUUAUGUAUUAUUGUUCUGAUUUAACAUGCCAGGCUUAAAAGCAACGUGACUAGCAGUUCUAAAAUCCUGAAAGCAGAAGUGAAGAAGCCAGAGAUGAGAGUAAGGACCAGCAAAAAGCAUGAGUGCUAUAAAAUAUAAAGCAUGCUUUUUUGCAAAAGAAAGGAAGAAAAAGAAAGAAAA